UUAAGCGAACAAGCGUACACGGUGGAUGCCCUGGCAGUCAGAGGCGAUGAAGGACGUGCUAAUCUGCGAAAAGCGCCGGUAAGGUGAUAUGAACCGUUAUAACCGGCGAUGUCCGAAUGGGGAAACCCGGUGCACUUCGGUGCAUCAUCGUUAGCUGAAUACAUAGGCUAACGAGGCGAACCGGGGGAACUGAAACAUCUAAGUACCCCGAGGAAAAGAAAUCAACCGAGAUUCCCCCAGUAGCGGCGAGCGAACGGGGAACAGCCCAGAGCCUGAAUCAGCUUGUGUGUCAGUGGAACGGUCUGGAAAGGCCGGCGAUACAGGGUGACAGCCCCGUACACGAAGGCACACAGGCUGUGAGCUCGAUGAGUAGGGCGGGACACGUGAUAUCCUGUCUGAAGAUGGGGGGACCAUCCUCCAAGGCUAAAUACUCCUGACUGACCGAUAGUGAACCAGUACCGUGAGGGAAAGGCGAAAAGAACCCCGGCGAGGGGAGUGAAACAGAACCUGAAACCGUGUACGUACAAGCAGUGGGAGCCUUCGUAAGAGGGUGACUGCGUACCUUUUGUAUAAUGGGUCAGCGACUUAUAUUCUGUAGCAAGGUUAACCGUAUAGGGGAGCCGAAGGGAAACCGAGUCUUAAUUGGGCGUUAAGUUGCAGGGUAUAGACCCGAAACCCGGUGAUCUAGCCAUGGGCAGGUUGAAGGUUGGGUAACACUAACUGGAGGACCGAACCGACUAAUGUUGAAAAAUUAGCGGAUGACCUGUGGCUGGGGGUGAAAGGCCAAUCAAACCGGGAGAUAGCUGGUUCUCCCCGAAAGCUAUUUAGGUAGCGCCUCGUGAACUCAUCUCCGGGGGUAGAGCACUGUUUCGGCUAGGGGGCCAUCCCGGCUUACCAACCCGAUGCAAACUGCGAAUACCGGAGAAUGUUAUCACGGGAGACACACGGCGGGUGCUAACGUCCGUCGUGAAGAGGGAAACAACCCAGACCGCCAGCUAAGGUCCCAAAGUCAUGGUUAAGUGGGAAACGAUGUGGGAAGGCCCAGACAGCCAGGAUGUUGGCUUAGAAGCAGCCAUCAUUUAAAGAAAGCGUAAUAGCUCACUGGUCGAGUCGGCCUGCGCGGAAGAUGUAACGGGGCUAAACCAUGCACCGAAGCUGCGGCAGCGACACUAUGUGUUGUUGGGUAGGGGAGCGUUCUGUAAGCCUGCGAAGGUGUGCUGUGAGGCAUGCUGGAGGUAUCAGAAGUGCGAAUGCUGACAUAAGUAACGAUAAAGCGGGUGAAAAGCCCGCUCGCCGGAAGACCAAGGGUUCCUGUCCAACGUUAAUCGGGGCAGGGUGAGUCGACCCCUAAGGCGAGGCCGAAAGGCGUAGUCGAUGGGAAACAGGUUAAUAUUCCUGUACUUGGUGUUACUGCGAAGGGGGACGGAGAAGGCUAUGUCGGCCGGGCGACGGUUGUCCCGGUUUAAGCGUGUAGGCUGACUUUCCAGGCAAAUCCGGAAGGUUAAGGCUGAGGCGUGAUGACGAGGCACCACGGUGCUGAAGUGACAAAUGCCCUGCUUCCAGGAAAAGCCUCUAAGCAUCAGGUAACAUCAAAUCGUACCCCAAACCGACACAGGUGGUCAGGUAGAGAAUACCAAGGCGCUUGAGAGAACUCGGGUGAAGGAACUAGGCAAAAUGGUGCCGUAACUUCGGGAGAAGGCACGCUGACAUGUAGGUGAAGCCCCUGCGGGUGGAGCUGAAGUCAGUCGAAGAUACCAGCUGGCUGCAACUGUUUAUUAAAAACACAGCACUGUGCAAACACGAAAGUGGACGUAUACGGUGUGACGCCUGCCCGGUGCCGGAAGGUUAAUUGAUGGGGUUAUCGCAAGAGAAGCUCCUGAUCGAAGCCCCGGUAAACGGCGGCCGUAACUAUAACGGUCCUAAGGUAGCGAAAUUCCUUGUCGGGUAAGUUCCGACCUGCACGAAUGGCGUAAUGAUGGCCAGGCUGUCUCCACCCGAGACUCAGUGAAAUUGAACUCGCUGUGAAGAUGCAGUGUACCCGCGGCAAGACGGAAAGACCCCGUGAACCUUUACUACAGCUUGACACUGAACAUUGAGCCUUGAUGUGUAGGAUAGGUGGGAGGCUUUGAAGCGUGGACGCCAGUCUGCGUGGAGCCAACCUUGAAAUACCACCCUUUAAUGUUUGAUGUUCUAACCUGGCGCCGUGAUCCGGCGUGGGGACAGUGUCUGGUGGGUAGUUUGACUGGGGCGGUCUCCUCCCAAAGUGUAACGGAGGAGCACGAAGGUCAGCUAAUCCUGGUCGGACAUCAGGAGGUUAGUGCAAUGGCAUAAGCUGGCUUGACUGCGAGAGUGACGGCUCGAGCAGGUGCGAAAGCAGGUCAUAGUGAUCCGGUGGUUCUGUAUGGAAGGGCCAUCGCUCAACGGAUAAAAGGUACUCCGGGGAUAACAGGCUGAUACCGCCCAAGAGUUCAUAUCGACGGCGGUGUUUGGCACCUCGAUGUCGGCUCAUCACAUCCUGGGGCUGAAGUAGGUCCCAAGGGUAUGGCUGUUCGCCAUUUAAAGUGGUACGCGAGCUGGGUUUAGAACGUCGUGAGACAGUUCGGUCCCUAUCUGCCGUGGGCGCUGGAGAAUUGAGGGGGGCUGCUCCCAGUACGAGAGGACCGGAGUGGACGCAUCAC
This 2678-nucleotide ribosomal RNA is filed under the name Cronobacter sakazakii. RNAcentral's name for it is "bacterial LSU rRNA". It matches the Rfam family "Bacterial large subunit ribosomal RNA". The record is from RNAcentral. Lineage: Bacteria; Pseudomonadati; Pseudomonadota; Gammaproteobacteria; Enterobacterales; Enterobacteriaceae.